This 67-nucleotide transfer RNA is filed under the name Vesta saturnalis. RNAcentral describes it as "tRNA-Ser". RNAcentral also lists the same sequence under 1 other name. Lineage: Eukaryota; Metazoa; Arthropoda; Insecta; Coleoptera; Lampyridae. The record is from RNAcentral.
AGUUAAUGAACUUGUAUAAGUUUAUACUUUGAAAGUAUAAAAAAAGGUUAAUAAGCCUUAUUAACUU